Molecule: long non-coding RNA, 1199 nt
Filed under: Ictidomys tridecemlineatus (thirteen-lined ground squirrel)
Lineage: Eukaryota; Metazoa; Chordata; Mammalia; Rodentia; Sciuridae
Description: lncRNA (ENSSTOG00000021692.2)
Source: RNAcentral
CAUCCUUCAGUUUCUGAGAUCAACUUCUAAUUUCUUUCCCUAGGAACGGGAGAGAACACGUUUCUGCGAAGACUGACCUGGCCACAGCACUUAGAUCCCUCGUCUUACAAUGAAUGUCAUCUAGGAGCCAUCCUGUUUGGAACUAGAACUAGAACCUCAGAACCUGUCUGGGAUGUAAAGUCAAAGCGUAUAAAGACAGAACAGCCUAUCUGCAGCCCAGAGAAGGCUCUUGGAACUCAACAAGAAAAUUAUGACUGUGCCCAAGCAGUUGCUGGUGAAUUCAGUGCUCUCCCAAUGAAGAGAGAGGAAGGGUCGGAAGAGAAGCCCAUUCCCCUGCAGCGAGGCGGACAAGGGGCAAGGCGAUGCAGAUACGGAGAUCUGGUGCCCACUUCCCUUGUGAGUCCGGAGGACCAGCAGAAGGCAACGACCGUGCAGAGCCAAGUGGACGAAAUCAUAGUUAUCAGCAGCGAGGACUCGCAAUCCAGUGACGAGGAAGAGCCCCAGGUGUCUCCCGCUCAGCACCAAGGUGCAGGAUUCAGGCGGGUGAGGAGGGCGCGGACCUCUGCCCCGGACUCCAGGAUCUCAGAGCUCCUGCUAGCUGGUGCACAUGGCUCGGAGGGCACUACCAGCCAGGGCCCUGCUAACCCUGGGCGCCCAUUCUUCACCCUUGCCUUGGCUGGCCCUUUGGGAAACGUGGAAAGGCCGGGCGGUACUCCCUGACUGCACGUCUGAAUGUCCGCGUAGAGACAGGAUGUGUGCUUCUGUUUUACACCUUUUUCCUCCUCAUGGUUGUACAUAUGAUAGUAUAAGGAAAAUUACAUAAUUUGUCUUUGUCUCCAGUUCUUGACCCAGAGUGGUAAAACCUCUGGAAUUUCUAGUGAGAAGAGCAUCUUUUAAAAACCAAGCAUAUGAUUACAGGGUUAGAUCUUUCAGCCCCACUUCUCGACCUCUGGAGAAAAGAGAGGAAUGGAAGAUUGAGUGCAUCAACAAUGGCCAAUAAUAAAAUGUCAGGUCUGCACAAUGACAGCUCAGAAAAGCCCCUGAACAAUGGGGUUCAGGGGCUUCCUUGUUGGUGAAGUCACCGAUGUGCUGGGAGCUGAAGAGAGCACACACCUCUCCUUCCCCUGCCCACCCACCCCCACUGUCUGCCACACAUAUACCUUGCUCUACCAUUUGGCUGUUUCAGAGUUGUAUUCUUU